RNAcentral lists this ribosomal RNA (600 nucleotides) under Triticum aestivum (bread wheat). RNAcentral's name for it is "partial small subunit ribosomal RNA". Lineage: Eukaryota; Viridiplantae; Streptophyta; Magnoliopsida; Poales; Poaceae. The record is from RNAcentral.
AUGAGAGAGAGUAGAGGCGCCAGCGUAGCCCAGCAGCCCAGCAUGCCAUUUUGGCCCAAGGCCCGGUCUCUCUCCCUGCCUAACCCUAGCCUGCACCCUGCUCGAUCCCUUUCUCUCCCUCGAUUCCUCCUCCCGCCGCCUCAUGCACCCACACACAUCGCUAGGGAGAGGAGCUCCCCAGCACGCGCGCGUCCCUCUCUUCAAUCGCCCUCGCUCCAGUCCCUCGCUCGAUCCCCCAACCUCCUCAUGCGCAGCAGCAGCACAGAUCGGCAAGCCCUGUCGCCUCCCGGCGCUCCAGCCCCGCCGCAAGCCCCUGCACCGUGUCGCCAGACUGCCUCCAGCCGUUCGCCUGCUUCCCCGGCACCCGCAUCUGACCUCUCCGGUCACCUCCUCCGCGCCUCCAGCGUGCCAUGGCCUCUUCCACCUCAACGCCAGCCAUGGCUGCCUCGCUGGCAAGCCCCGUUGCCGCUCCGACCGGCGAGUCCAGGCCGCCGAGCUCGCCUCCACCUCCCCUCCUGCUGCUGCUCAGCUCCCUCCAACGCCUUGCCUUGCCUCCUGCAUCCCGUGUGCCCUGCUGGGCGUGUGUGUGCCCACGUCUAG